This 579-nucleotide ribosomal RNA is filed under the name uncultured fungus. Its description in RNAcentral is "partial 18S ribosomal RNA". The stretch from base 56 to 358 matches the Rfam family "Group I catalytic intron". From Rfam's summary of the family: Group I catalytic introns are large self-splicing ribozymes. They catalyse their own excision from mRNA, tRNA and rRNA precursors in a wide range of organisms. Lineage: Eukaryota; Fungi. The record is from RNAcentral.
AAGUCGUAACAAGGUCUCUCGGAGCAGAUCCUUCUGCCAGCGAUCCUUGGAAGCCUUUGCGCCCUCGCAAGAGGGGGUUCAGCGACUCUAAACAAGAACCGCGCAAGUAGCCCUCGCGGCUGCAACAUGAUCGAAUUGCGGGGAAACUCCUAAAGCUCUCGGUACCAACCCGCCCGCAGAAAUGCGGCGGGGGCCUGCGCUAACCACGCGGGGCGGUAAGAAUCCGGGAGAUGCUACAAUGGGUGAUCCGCAGCGAAGCCCCUACUGGCGCAAGCCCACGGGGAACGUUCACAGACUAGGUGGUCACGGGCAGCGUCCGCUGCUUAAGAUAUAGUCGGGCCGCCGGAGAAAUCCGGCGGGGUACUCGCUGAGUAUGAACCGUUCCGUUGGUGAACCAGCGGAAGGAUCAUUACAGAGAUCAUGCCCUCGCGGGUAGACCUCCCACCCUGUGUUAUUUACCAUUGCUGCUUUGGCAGGCCGCCCUCGGGCUCUCGGCCUCGGCUGAGGAGCGCCUGCCAGAGGACCCCNACUCUUGUGUNUACGUGUCGUCUGAGCAUUAUAUAAUAAGUUAAAACUUUC